Molecule: transfer RNA, 75 nt
Filed under: Phyllobacteriaceae bacterium
Lineage: Bacteria; Pseudomonadati; Pseudomonadota; Alphaproteobacteria; Hyphomicrobiales; Phyllobacteriaceae
Also listed under: 1 other name
Description: tRNA-Glu
Rfam family: tRNA
About the family: Transfer RNA (tRNA) molecules are approximately 80 nucleotides in length.
Source: RNAcentral
GCGCCCUUCGUCUAGCGGUUAGGACGCCGCCCUUUCACGGCGGAAACAGGGGUUCGAUUCCCCUAGGGCGUACCA